RNAcentral lists this transfer RNA (65 nucleotides) under Eucryptorrhynchus scrobiculatus. Its description in RNAcentral is "tRNA-Phe". The record is from RNAcentral. Lineage: Eukaryota; Metazoa; Arthropoda; Insecta; Coleoptera; Curculionidae.
AUUCAAAUAGCUUAUAAAGAGUGUGGCAUUGAAGAUGCUAAGGAAAUAUGAAUUAUUUUUGGGUA